UUGUGUCCUUGCUUUGGAUACAAAGCCUUUAAACAGUCUAUAUCAUAUUGUGACAGUUACUAAACUGGGACUUUUCUUUUAUGCCUUUGAUAAGUUCCUGGAGAGUCCCCUACAUCUGAAAAAGCAGCUCCUCCUAUCACCACACAGGAGUCCAUUACUAUAUCUUUUCCAUCCGCCACCCAAGAGCUCAUUACAACUGG
Gavialis gangeticus (Gharial) is the source of this 200-nucleotide long non-coding RNA. RefSeq lists it as uncharacterized. The record is from RefSeq and is a predicted model, not a curated record. NCBI's taxonomy places the organism in Eukaryota, Metazoa, Chordata, Crocodylia, Gavialidae. The transcript is spliced from 3 exons.